GCGAGAGAGUGUUUACGACAGUUGAAGCUGCUAAAGAUUUUUAUUUAUUUUAUUUUUUUAAUAAAUUCUCAACACUUCACAAUAUUACAAACAACAAAUAUUCACAUGAAAGCAAAGUGGAUCUAACUAACAGUCAGAGAGAACUGGAAGGCCCAGAAGCACAACAGCAAGACAAGAAGACAUCAGAGUCUUCACACUGAGAAACUGAUGUCUUUCAGGUUUCAUGAUAAUGGAGAUGGAAUGUAAAUGCACAAUUUGCAUGAUUGAAAGAGCAAGAAAAUCUGACUAAAUCUCCAACAACUUGCAGCGUUAUCAUCGAGGCUGAGAAAAGAACACAACGCUGCAGACAACAGGAAACUAAUAAAGCCCAAAUAUAUCCCCACAUCCUAACCAGCAAUAAACAAAAGGAAUCAGCCCAUAUCACACUACAUGGAGGAAUUCACAGAAUGCAAGAUAUGUUUACUGCAACACAUUUUAUGUGGCUAGCUUUUUACAACAAUAGGAUGUGGUUUACAAGAAUGGAUAUGACUAAAUUAAGAUGACUACUUUGGAUUGCCUAUUAAAAAC
Onychostoma macrolepis is the source of this 567-nucleotide long non-coding RNA. RefSeq lists it as uncharacterized. The record is from RefSeq and is a predicted model, not a curated record. The transcript has 4 exons. NCBI's taxonomy places the organism in Eukaryota, Metazoa, Chordata, Actinopteri, Cypriniformes, Cyprinidae.